UGAAACGCCGGGCUUCGCCCCUGGUUAUCAUAACCCUUUGUUGUCCGACUCUGUNUGCCAUCCGGGGCGACCCUGCCUUCGGCGCGGAGGGCUCCGUGGUGGACACUUUCAACACUCUUGCGUAACUUGUAGCAGAUACUAGAGUUAAACUGUAAAGUAUUAAUUAAAAGUUAAAGACACGUCUGUGUACACGACAGCUGGGAUCCUCUUGCGUAUCCUCGGACAUCGAUAGAAGUAACGCAGCAGACAAUGCGAUAAGUUAAUGUGCACAUUGCAGNAAUUCGAGUGACAUCAUCGCAGAUCUUUGAACGCACAUUGCCGCCCCCUGGCUAUUCCGGCGGGGCAUGCCUGCUUCGAGCGUCAUUUCACCUACUCAAGUCCUCGCUUGCGUAUUGGGCAAUCGCGGUCCGCCGCGUGCCUCAAAUCGUCCGGCUGGGUCUUCUGUCCCCUAAGCGUAGUGGAAACUAUUCGCUAAAGGGUGUUCGGGAGGCUACGCCGUAAAACAACCCCAUUUCUAAGCGUUGACCUCGGAUCAGGUAGGGAUACCCGCUGAACUUAAGCAUAUCAAUAAGCGGAGGAACGC
RNAcentral lists this ribosomal RNA (583 nucleotides) under fungal sp. UFMGCB 2605. Its description in RNAcentral is "eukaryotic LSU rRNA". The record is from RNAcentral. Lineage: Eukaryota; Fungi.